UACAGAGGGUGCAAGCGUUAAUCGGAAUUACUGGGCGUAAAGCGCGCGUAGGUGGUUUGUUAAGUUGGAUGUGAAAUCCCCGGGCUCAACCUGGGAACUGCAUUCAAAACUGACUGACUAGAGUAUAGUAGAGGGUGGUAGAAUUUCCUGUAUAGCGGUGAAAUGCGUAGAUAUAGGAAGGAACACCAGUGGCGAAGGCGACCACCUGGACUAAUACUGACACUGAGGUGCGAAAGCGUGGGGAGCAAACAGG
RNAcentral lists this ribosomal RNA (253 nucleotides) under uncultured Pseudomonas sp. RNAcentral's name for it is "partial 16S ribosomal RNA". It matches the Rfam family "Bacterial small subunit ribosomal RNA", at positions 524 to 776 of the family's 1533-position model. The record is from RNAcentral. Lineage: Bacteria; Pseudomonadati; Pseudomonadota; Gammaproteobacteria; Pseudomonadales; Pseudomonadaceae.